UGACUUAAUGGGGCUCUCAAGGGACUC
RNAcentral lists this non-coding RNA (27 nucleotides) under Mus musculus (house mouse). The record is from RNAcentral. Lineage: Eukaryota; Metazoa; Chordata; Mammalia; Rodentia; Muridae.